RNAcentral lists this transfer RNA (76 nucleotides) under Gammaproteobacteria bacterium. RNAcentral's name for it is "tRNA-Thr". It matches the Rfam family "tRNA". From Rfam's summary of the family: Transfer RNA (tRNA) molecules are approximately 80 nucleotides in length. RNAcentral also lists the same sequence under 2 other names. Lineage: Bacteria; Pseudomonadati; Pseudomonadota; Gammaproteobacteria. The record is from RNAcentral.
GCCGGCUUAGCUCAGAUGGUAGAGCAGUUGCCUUGUAAGCAUCAGGUCGAGAGUUCGAUUCCCUCAGCCGGCACCA